GUGGGGAAUCUUAGACAAUGGGCGCAAGCCUGAUCUAGCCAUGCCGCGUGAGCGAUGAAGGCCUUAGGGUUGUAAAGCUCUUUCGCUGGGGAAGAUAAUGACUGUACCCAGUAAAGAAGCCCCGGCUAACUCCGUGCCAGCAGCCGCGGUAAUACGGAGGGGGCUAGCGUUAUUCGGAAUUACUGGGCGUAAAGCGCACGUAGGCGGACCAGAAAGUUGGGGGUGAAAUCCCGGGGCUCAACCUCGGAACUGCCUUCAAAACUCCUGGUCUUGAGUUCGAGAGAGGUGAGUGGAAUUCCGAGUGUAGAGGUGAAAUUCGUAGAUAUUCGGAGGAACACCAGUGGCGAAGGCGGCUCACUGGCUCGAUACUGACGCUGAGGUGCGAAAGCGUGGGGAGCAAACAGGAUUAGAAACCCUGGUAGUCC
Molecule: ribosomal RNA, 425 nt
Filed under: uncultured bacterium
Lineage: Bacteria
Description: bacterial SSU rRNA
Rfam family: Bacterial small subunit ribosomal RNA
Source: RNAcentral